This 1801-nucleotide long non-coding RNA is filed under the name Helianthus annuus (common sunflower). RNAcentral describes it as "hypothetical non coding rna". The record is from RNAcentral. Lineage: Eukaryota; Viridiplantae; Streptophyta; Magnoliopsida; Asterales; Asteraceae.
GAAAAUACGUAUUAACAUUUCAUGACAUUCAACAACGGUAGAUACUUAACCUGGAAAAAAACAACAAUACGACGUCGUACCACUAGCACACCUGCAUGAGCGGCAACCCACAGAGACAAUCAUUAUUACUAAACGACGACGCUUCAAGAUGAUCAAACGGAAACCCUACCGGAAUCUUCCCACACAGGCGGUUAUUACUCAGAUCCAAAUGCCCAAUAUACUUCGCCGCCGAUAACGACUUCGGAAUCGCACCUUUCAGCCGAUUAUUACUCAAAUCAAGCACCGAAAAAUACGUCAUCGGAGUAAAAACAUCCGGUAGUUUUCCGGUGAGCUGGUUGCCGAUAAGGUCAAGAAUGCGGAGGUGAGGUAAGGCGGUGGUACACGCCGGAAUCCCGCCGGAGAUUCCUUUCCAGUCGGCGACGAUGAGUGACGUCAGCCGGUCUAGUUGACAUAACGAAGGGGAGAGUGAACCGGUCAUGUAACCGGACCGGCCGGUUUGGGUAAAUAUCUUAUCUUCAGACUCGCCACGUAGGAUAAUAUCGUUGACCCGGCUAUCAGUCGGGUCGCAGCUUACACCGUACCAGUUAGUGCAACAGUCGGAUCCGGUCCAUGUGUUAAAAAUGCCUAAAUAGGGCUCGGUCAGGGUGGACUUGAAGGAUAAUAAUGCUGCCCGGUCUGAUGGCGGGCAAGAGGUGACCACGGUGGAGGUUGCGGCGGCGAUGAGGACUGCCACCGCCACGUGUACGCCGGUAAAGAGAACAAACAGGCAGUGUCACACACAAGCCAAACAAAGACCCAGCAAUCAAAAUUCAAAGAUUCAGCAAUAAAAGGAACUUAAUGAAAAAGAUCUCAAGUCUCGUUGUUAUAGUCUUCAAGAUGCAUUGAAGUAUAAAGACAAAUCCGAUGUUGAUGCUGAUGAACUUUAUAUGGAGUUGAAAUUGUUUGAGACAUUUUUACCUAGUCAUAUUGUUUGCCCUUUUGAUGCUUUCAACAGUUUAAAGAAGAUUGUUUUUUUUUUCCUAAUGCAUUAAUUGCAUAUGGAGUGUUGUUAACUAUUCCCGUAACAGUAGCAUAAGCAGAAAGAAGCUUUUCGAAGUUGAAGUUGUUAAAGACUUACUUACGAUCUAGUAUGUCCCAAGAAAGACUCAAUGGAUUAGUGAUGAUAUCUAUUGAAAACGACAUAUUAGAGAAUAUGGAUUAUGAAGAGUUAAUCGAAAGCUUUGCUUCAAAAAACGCUAGGAGAGCCGCACCAUUCGCUUAAGUAGGUAAUCGCAAUAGAGUAUUUUAAGAAGCUUAUUAGAGGAGACGAGGCACCCCGUUAUGAAGGGCUGGCCACGCGUCGACAUCCGUGAGGCGUGAUACACCACCGCCACCAUGUCUUAUAAUGCGUGAAAUGGAUAACGCGUGGCCAUGAUCACGCGUGAAGGAUUGAAGGUGUUGUACAUGUUCGAUGAUGGAGAUGAGUGUGUGGUGAGUGAUGGGCAUUUCCACUAAAAUCCAUCACUAAUGAUGGAAUGAAGCUCGAUGACAUAACGGAAUUGAUUGGAUGUUGUAAGUGAUGGAAUUCCAUCACUAGUGGAGCGCCCCUACCCCCUUAAGGUGUUUAGAAGAGUCUUAUUGGAUGUAGUCAAUUAUACUUCUAAGCUUUAGUGGUUUUGUUGAAACUCAUGUAAGUAAAAUAAACUAAAUUUUUGCUACCAAGUCUGCAUCAAUCGGUCACUUUAGCCUCAUCCUAUGUGGCGUGUGACAAUACACGGGUAAGUUGGAAAUUCAAACAAUCAAAUGAGUUCAUACAACUGAU